This 641-nucleotide ribosomal RNA is filed under the name Modestobacter sp. I12A-02915. RNAcentral describes it as "bacterial SSU rRNA". It matches the Rfam family "Bacterial small subunit ribosomal RNA", at positions 92 to 746 of the family's 1533-position model. The record is from RNAcentral. Lineage: Bacteria; Bacillati; Actinomycetota; Actinomycetes; Geodermatophilales; Geodermatophilaceae.
CUAGCGGCGAACGGGUGAGUAACACGUGGGCAACCUGCCCUCAGCUCUGGGAUAACUCCAAGAAAUUGGUGCUAAUACCGGAUGUGACCGCUGACCGCAUGGUCUGGUGGUGGAAAGAUUCAUCGGCUGAGGAUGGGCCCGCGGCCUAUCAGCUUGUUGGUGGGGUGAUGGCCUACCAAGGCGACGACGGGUAGCCGGCCUGAGAGGGUGACCGGCCACACUGGGACUGAGACACGGCCCAGACUCCUACGGGAGGCAGCAGUGGGGAAUAUUGCGCAAUGGGCGGAAGCCUGACGCAGCGACGCCGCGUGAGGGAUGACGGCCUUCGGGUUGUAAACCUCUUUCAGCAGGGACGAAGCGGAAGUGACGGUACCUGCAGAAGAAGCACCGGCCAACUACGUGCCAGCAGCCGCGGUAAUACGUAGGGUGCAAGCGUUGUCCGGAAUUAUUGGGCGUAAAGAGCUCGUAGGCGGUCUGUCACGUCGGCUGUGAAAACCCGAGGCUCAACCUCGGGCCUGCAGUCGAUACGGGCAAACUAGAGUGUUGCAGGGGAGACUGGAAUUCCUGGUGUAGCGGUGAAAUGCGCAGAUAUCAGGAGGAACACCGGUGGCGAAGGCGGGUCUCUGGGCAACAACUGACGC